UGGCUCAGUGGUAGAGCACUUGGCUAGCAUACAUGAGGCUCUGGGCUCAAUCCCCAG
RNAcentral lists this transfer RNA (57 nucleotides) under Urocitellus parryii (Arctic ground squirrel). Its description in RNAcentral is "Spermophilus parryii (Arctic ground squirrel) tRNA". It matches the Rfam family "tRNA", at positions 8 to 63 of the family's 71-position model. From Rfam's summary of the family: Transfer RNA (tRNA) molecules are approximately 80 nucleotides in length. Their secondary structure includes four short double-helical elements and three loops (D, anti-codon, and T loops). The record is from Rfam by way of RNAcentral. RNAcentral also lists the same sequence under 1 other name. Lineage: Eukaryota; Metazoa; Chordata; Mammalia; Rodentia; Sciuridae.